RNAcentral lists this unclassified non-coding RNA (364 nucleotides) under uncultured Ascomycota. RNAcentral describes it as "sequence contains ITS1". The stretch from base 1 to 104 matches the Rfam family "5.8S ribosomal RNA", at positions 50 to 154 of the family's 154-position model. The record is from RNAcentral. Lineage: Eukaryota; Fungi; Ascomycota.
GAAAUGCGAUACGUAAUGCGAAUUGCAGAUCCAGUGAAUCAUCGAGUCUUUGAACGCAUAUUGCGCCCCCCGGCACUCCGGGGGGCUUGUCCGACCGAGCGCCGCAGCGCCGCCCAGGCAAGAGCCGCGCCCCCGCGCGCGGCGCCUGGUGUUGGGGCAUGCGACCCCCGAAGCAGCCCUCAAAUCCAGCCGCGGCCGCCGCAGCGCGCGGCCCCCAGGCGCAGUACGUGCUGCCGCCUCGAGGGGUCCCUGCGACGGCCCGCCAAAAAGCAAGAGCAAGCCCCGCCCGCCCCGACGGGAGGCGGGGCUCGCCCACGCACCCCCGGUUGGCCUCGGGUCGGACAAGGCUACCCGCUGAACUUAA